RNAcentral lists this ribosomal RNA (342 nucleotides) under Triticum aestivum (bread wheat). RNAcentral describes it as "partial small subunit ribosomal RNA". The record is from RNAcentral. Lineage: Eukaryota; Viridiplantae; Streptophyta; Magnoliopsida; Poales; Poaceae.
AUGACUGAUCAAGAUCAAGCGAUGGCGACUGCUAUUGGUAUGGUGUUUCUAGGUAUAACACACAGAUGUUGCAAGUGGCAUGUCCUGAAGAUUGCGAAGGAAAAACUUGGUAUGUUGUUUAGGACAAGAGAGGAUUUUGAGAAAGAAUUCUAUUAUUGUGUGAAUGGGAAGGACACUGUAGAAGAAUUUGAGGAAGCAUGGAAGCAGAUGGUGUUGAAGCAUGAGCUUGUUGAGCACACACAUCUAAUUAACAUGUGGGACUGCGGAAAGACUUGGGCACCGGCUACUUCAAAAAGAAUUUAUUUCCCUUCACUGGAACGACUGGCAAUUCAGAAGGUUUGA